RNAcentral lists this ribosomal RNA (578 nucleotides) under Meyerozyma caribbica. RNAcentral describes it as "eukaryotic LSU rRNA". It matches the Rfam family "Eukaryotic large subunit ribosomal RNA", at positions 45 to 638 of the family's 3401-position model. Lineage: Eukaryota; Fungi; Ascomycota; Pichiomycetes; Serinales; Debaryomycetaceae. The record is from RNAcentral.
CAUAAGCGGAGGAAAAGAAACCAACAGGGAUUGCCUUAGUAGCGGCGAGUGAAGCGGCAAAAGCUCAAAUUUGAAAUCUGGCACCUUCGGUGUCCGAGUUGUAAUUUGAAGAUUGUAACCUUGGGGUUGGCUCUUGUCUAUGUUUCUUGGAACAGGACGUCACAGAGGGUGAGAAUCCCGUGCGAUGAGAUGCCCAAUCCUAUGUAAGGUGCUUUCGAAGAGUCGAGUUGUUUGGGAAUGCAGCUCUAAGUGGGUGGUAAAUUCCAUCUAAAGCUAAAUAUUGGCGAGAGACCGAUAGCGAACAAGUACAGUGAUGGAAAGAUGAAAAGAACUUUGAAAAGAGAGUGAAAAAGUACGUGAAAUUGUUGAAAGGGAAGGGUUUGAGAUCAGACUCGAUAUUUUGUGAGCCUUGCCUUCGUGGCGGGGUGACCCGCAGCUUAUCGGGCCAGCAUCGGUUUGGGCGGUAGGAUAAUGGCGUAGGAAUGUGACUUUGCUUCGGUGAAGUGUUAUAGCCUGCGUUGAUGCUGCCUGCCUAGACCGAGGACUGCGAUUUUAUGCAAGGAUGCUGGCAUAAUGAU